This 253-nucleotide ribosomal RNA is filed under the name uncultured bacterium. RNAcentral describes it as "partial 16S ribosomal RNA". It matches the Rfam family "Bacterial small subunit ribosomal RNA", at positions 524 to 776 of the family's 1533-position model. The record is from RNAcentral.
UACGAAGGGGGCUAGCGUUGUUCGGAAUUACUGGGCGUAAAGCGCACGUAGGCGGAUUUGUAAGUCAGGGGUGAAAUCCCGGGGCUCAACCUCGGAACUGCCUUUGAUACUGCAAGUCUCGAGUCCGAUAGAGGUGAGUGGAACUGCGAGUGUAGAGGUGAAAUUCGUAGAUAUUCGCAAGAACACCAGUGGCGAAGGCGGCCCUCUGGACGGUGACUGACGCUGAGACGCGAAAGCGUGGGGAGCAAACAGG